AGACUUUGAAGAUGAACAAGACCGAAUAAAGUGUUGUUGGAGCUGAAAGAGCCAUAGAGACAACUGCUACUAAGAUCAAGACCAAUCACAUGACCUGUCUUCUCAUCACCCUCCACUCCAUCCCAUGAGCAACAACUGAUGUUUUGCUCCCCAGUAGAUUUCCAUGAAGAAAUCUUUGGAUAAGCACCCUCAUACUCUGAAGCAGACAUGUCAAUGACAAAGCUUUGCUUGAAUUGCAGCAAGGCGCGCGGAGUUCUCGACAUCAUGGCAAGUAGGAAUAUAUGACUGCAAAGAGUUGGCCACCGCAAGAUGGAACAACACAAGUUUUGAAAGCAUAAAUGUAAUAACCGAGUUUUGUUUUCUUUAAUCAAAGUGAAAUUGUGGCAGACACCUUUCCUUGUUUGAGGCAGUAGAGACCACCGCUUUAUCUCUUUCAUGAUUGUGCAUGAUUGAGGAACAGAUCAUUAGCUAACAAGCAGACUACUAUCUCUCUCACUCCUCCUGUUUCACGUCCGAAAAACAGAGCAUUAGUUCUCCAGCCUUGUUCUCCCUCUUCAGGCCACCUCAAGACGUCGGACCACCUCCAGUAGCUUCGCCUAGACCUUGCACAGCCGCAGGUGGCAUCCUUGGGCCGCAACAUGGACUGUAGCGACGGCGGAGGACCCGGCUUCGUUUGAGCCUAUUUCGAGUCAAUCUCGAUAUCUCGAGCUACAAGCCACCAAUCCUCUUGAUUCUUGGCUCAUUAGACUCGCAUCAACUUUCUGAACAAGCACCAAGAAGGACCGGACCUGGGGAUAUCGAUUUCAUGUUCGCCGGAGCUCAGCCCGUUUAGAUCGAAAAACCACCUUUCGAUCAGAAUAUCUCGAGUUACAGACCACUAUUCUUUAUGAUUCUUGGCUUGAUGAACUCGACUUGAGUUUCUGAACAAAUCUUCAUAAGGAAUCGAAGCGUUUUGUUGAAGUUUUUACGUCGAAACUCAGGAUCGCCGGAUUCUGGAAUUUUUCCGGCCACCGAAACUUUCGAUCAGGAUAUCUAGAGCUGUAGAGCUUCGUUUUGAUUGAUUCUUGAACCUGUAAACUUGCCUUACGUUUCUGAAGAAGUCUCCAGAAAGGAUUGAAGCGAGUGGUGGAGGUUUUUACGUCGAUCGGAGCACCUACCGGAUUCUGGAAAAUUUCCGCCAAGUUCAACUGUUCUAGGUGAUUGACGGUUUUUACUUGGGCGAGCGAGUUUGGUGUGAUCGUGUUAAUUUGAAGACGCAACGAGAGUAUUAAGGCUUUCAGAAAGCUUACCGGGUUUUGUGUUGUUGCAAUCCCGGUACACUAUUCAAACGGUGUAGCGGAUAAUCCUGCAGGUCAGGAUAAUCAGGGAGGAGACCGAGCUGGUUAAGGGUUGCAGCACUUACUUUAUUUCCUUCUAUUGUGAGGUUUGUUAUGUUCAAUUAGUGCUUUACAAUUUUAAAUUAUAAGAAUGCAUGAGUUGUAAUAAUUAACUCGAGGUUUUCGAGUUUUGGAAUUUGAGUGGCG
Molecule: long non-coding RNA, 1523 nt
Organism: Rosa chinensis
Lineage: Eukaryota; Viridiplantae; Streptophyta; Magnoliopsida; Rosales; Rosaceae
Exons: 3
Source: RefSeq, a predicted model, not a curated record